GGGUUUGUGGCUCAGUGGUACAGCACUUAUCUAGUAUGCAUGAGGCCCUGGGUUCAAGUCCCAGCACCA
Ictidomys tridecemlineatus (thirteen-lined ground squirrel) is the source of this 69-nucleotide non-coding RNA. Lineage: Eukaryota; Metazoa; Chordata; Mammalia; Rodentia; Sciuridae. The record is from Rfam.